Molecule: ribosomal RNA, 427 nt
Filed under: uncultured bacterium
Lineage: Bacteria
Description: partial 16S ribosomal RNA
Rfam family: Bacterial small subunit ribosomal RNA
Source: RNAcentral
GUGAGGAAUCUUCCACAAUGGGCGAAAGCCUGAUGGAGCAACGCCGCGUGAAGGAUGAAGGUCUUCGGAUUGUAAACUUCUUUUAUGAGUGAAGAAUAUGACGGUAACUCAUGAAUAAGCACCGGCUAACUACGUGCCAGCAGCUGCGGUCAUACGUAGGGUGCAAGCAUUAUCCGGAGUGACUGGGCGUAAAGAGUUGCGUAGGCGGUUAUGUAAGCGAAUAGUGAAACCUGGUGGCUCAACCACACAGACUAUUAUUCGAACUGCAUAACUAGAGAAUGGUAGAGGUAACUGGAAUUUCUUGUGUAGGAGUGAAAUCCGUAGAUAUAAGAAGGAACACCAAUGGCGUAGGCAGGUUACUAGGCCAUUUCUGACGCUAAGGCACGAAAGCGUGGGGAGCGAACCGGAUUAGAAACCCCUGUAGUCC